RNAcentral lists this ribosomal RNA (253 nucleotides) under uncultured bacterium. RNAcentral describes it as "partial 16S ribosomal RNA". It matches the Rfam family "Bacterial small subunit ribosomal RNA", at positions 524 to 776 of the family's 1533-position model. The record is from RNAcentral.
UACGAAGGGGGCUAGCGUUGCUCGGAAUUACUGGGCAUAAAGGGUGCGUAGGCGGUUUGUUAAGUCACUGGUGAAAGUUUUCGGCCCAACCGGAAAAUUGCCUGUGAUACUGGCGAACUUGAGUGCGUGAGGGGUGGGGGGAACGAGCAGUGUAGCGGUGAAAUGCGUAGAUAUUGCUCGGAAGGCCGGAGCCGAAGGGGCCCCACUGGUACGUAACUGACGCUGAGGCACGAAAGCGUGGGGAGCAAACAGG